RNAcentral lists this ribosomal RNA (407 nucleotides) under uncultured bacterium. RNAcentral describes it as "partial 16S ribosomal RNA". It matches the Rfam family "Bacterial small subunit ribosomal RNA", at positions 30 to 526 of the family's 1533-position model. The record is from RNAcentral.
AUUGAACGCUGGCGGCAGGCCUAACACAUGCAAGUCGAGCGGAGCGGCGGACGGGUGAGUAAUGCCUAGGAAUCUGCCUGGUAGUGGGGGAUAACGUCCGGAAACGGGAGCUAAUACCGCAUACUAUCAGAUGAGCCUAGGUCGGUGUGGCUAGUUGGUGGGGUAAAGGCCUACAAAGUCGACGAUCCGUAACUGGUCUGAGAGGAUGAUCAGUCACACUGGAACUGAGACACGGUACAGACUCCUACGGGAGUCAGCAGCGGGGAAUAUUGGACAAUGGGCGCAAGCCUGCUCGAGCCAUGCCGCGUGUGUGAAGAAGGUCUUCGGAUUGUAAAGCACUUUAAGUUGGGAGGCGUUACCAACAGAAUAAGCACCGGCUAACUUCGUGCCAGCAGCCGCGGUAAUUC